RNAcentral lists this long non-coding RNA (959 nucleotides) under Anser cygnoides (Swan goose). RNAcentral describes it as "lncRNA (ENSACDG00005017770.1)". Lineage: Eukaryota; Metazoa; Chordata; Aves; Anseriformes; Anatidae. The record is from RNAcentral.
AAGGCAUUUCAUACUUGUGUUAGUGUGCACUAGUCUCAUCAAUUUUGCUCUGUUUCAUCAUUCUAGAUUAAUAAAAUUCAGCCUAACAUUUUUAUUUUAUUUUUUCCUAAGACCAUAAAAGGUACUUAUUAGUAGGAGAGAGAUGUUUAUUUAGAGAAAUGCCUGGAAAAGAGAUGCUAAGGAGUAAAUAACUCUGUUUUAACAGAAACUACCAGUUGAACCAUGUUGAACAUAGUGCUGCUCAAAUUUAUGCCACUAAAAGGACACCAAUGCCUACACUAAUGAAAAUGGAGGCAACAUGCCUCUUUUUGUUGUGUUCUAUAAAUAAACCUAAUAUAUCAAUACACAUAUUUAAUACAAAAAUAUUGAGAAAUUAUUCAACAUUUUUGUGUUGUGUGCCUCUGUAUUUAAAGCUGCCCAAAGAGAGAAAUACUAAUUUUGAUCAAUAAUUAAAUUGAUAAAAUAGCAACUUACUUCAAUCUAUUUAAUGAAAUGCUUUAUUUAAUAAGCUGUAUAACUGGCCGGCAGCUGUAUAAAUUUGGCCCGGCCGCUAUCCUGUCCACAUGCAGCCGUCAGCCCAGCACAGCCUCGGUGAUCACCGAAGGGAAGGGAACGAAGGGAAGGGAGGAAGCGGAGUGGGAGCCGCGCAGCAUGGGGCCAGGAGAUCACCGGCUUGGUGUUUACCUGAAGAGAAGGAGAAAAAAGAAAAGAAAACAACCCAAGGAAACACACAUAUCUGAUUUCUCCAGCAAUGUCAAGAAAGAUAAAGAAGUAAAAGCACAAUGCUAAAGACAUUAUGAUCUGUGUGAGACACAGGCUACCCUGAAUUCACAUGUUCAGAACUCAAUGAGUAUGAUGAGAUGUCUGCCAUGGAUCAGGAAUAGUCAUAACCCUGUGUGUGAUGAUGGGCGGAAACAUAUAUUUAUCUAAAUAAAUUUAGAGCUCUUUCCCUAUGGACA